UGCACUCACUACUGUAAGUCGCUCUGGAUAAGAGCGUCUGCUAAAUUACUAAAA
This is a non-coding RNA of Salmo salar (Atlantic salmon), 54 nucleotides long. NCBI's taxonomy places the organism in Eukaryota, Metazoa, Chordata, Actinopteri, Salmoniformes, Salmonidae. The record is from Rfam.